CUCUCCCAUAUGGUCGACCUGCAGGCGGCCGCGAAUUCACUAGUGAUUGUCGAAUGCGAGCUUGCUCGCAUGGCAAACGGGAGAGUAACACGUUGGUAAUCUACCUCUAUCUUAGGCAUAACCCGGAGAAAUCUGGAGUAAUACCUGAUAGUCAUGGGGGGACAUAAGUCAUUCCCAUGUAAAGAUCCGUCGGAUAGAGAGGAGCCUACGGCACAUCAGCUUGUUGGUAGGGUAAUGGCCUACCAAGGCUACGACGUGUAACGGGUGUGAGAGCAUGACCCGUCCCACUGGAACUGAGAUACUGUCCAGACUCCCACGGGAGGCUGCAGUCAAGAAUCUUCCUCAAUGGACGAAAGUCUGAAGGAGCAAUGCCGCGUGAUCGAUGAAGCUUUUCGGAGUGUAAAGAUCUUUUAUCAGGGACGAA
Molecule: ribosomal RNA, 424 nt
Filed under: uncultured bacterium
Lineage: Bacteria
Description: bacterial SSU rRNA
Rfam family: Bacterial small subunit ribosomal RNA
Source: RNAcentral